AAUUGAAGAAAAUUGCCCAAAUUAAAGUAACUGAAAACAAACGAAAAAAUAAAUGUAACAUCCGUGUCGUUUAAAAAGCGAACAUGAAUUUAAAGCGGCGAAAAUACUUCUUUAUAGUGUAAUUACUUCAAACUUCUGUUUCGUCUACAAACGCUGUAAUUACAUAUGUACAUACAUAGCACCAAAGUCCUGCAACAAAAAUAAUUCUUCGCACAGAUUGAACCGUGGAAACCUCAAUCGCCUUUCCAUAGUUCCACAUUAAUACUAAUUGAAAUUUAUUUUUACGACGCAAAAACGGCGCUCGAGAUGAUUUAGUCCACUAUGUACGGCAAAGUCUCCCCCUUAAGUACUAUUUACGUAGGCAGCAGCACUGAAAUCGGAAUGGCUUCCGGUCCGCGAUAGUCCAGACGAUUUUUCGAGGCGCGGCAAAGUGCCCCGUGUAUAGUUUGCGCGUCUUGCUUGCGUACCGUUGGCAACGAAUUCUAAUUAGUCAGCACGUCGUCGCCGGCAUUAUCAACCCCUCGCGAAUUGUUGCCUGUUGGUCCCCGAUAACGCGCGGUGGUCUCCCCUAGCGUGAGGACCAAAGCUGCGCAAGGAACUAAGCGGAAUUUCGACUUAGGACGCGAACGAUGGGUAAACCGCGAUUCAAGUCGCAGAAUAUAGUUUAUCCCGCCAUAACGGGUAAAGAAAUUAGCCCCCAAGGUUUUGCCCGAGACAGUAAAUACGUGACUAUUAAAGUGGCUAUUAAUCUUUUUGUUAACGCUUUAUUCUUCAAAGUUUAUCCUGGGAUUGUUAAAUAAUUUCGUAAUGCUUUUGUAUAUUUUAUCGAAACCUAAGUAAAUGUUGAACGUAACAGAAGCGACGAGUAAUACGCUAAUUACGAGUAACACUAUUAAUUAGCCAGUAAAACAACAAAUGCAGAUGUUGAUAAGGCGAUCUUCCUGAUAUCGCAGUAAUACGAUCUAAAUUCGUCGAUGGUGAAGUUUCCAUUAAUUCUCCAUAAUUACAAAUAAGCUUAAUGCCGGACCAGGUAAGAGCAUACGAGACGGAGCGACGGUUUGCGUUAUAAUUUAGUCCGAUUAUACACGUGCUACAGCCGUAAGCAAACAUCUCGCGCGAAGUACCGAAUCGGAGUACGCUGAUUGUGCCGGUCCCCUUAAUGUGCGAUGUAUCAUCGAUGUCCUGCGUACGAUGUAACACCGGAAUCGAAUACUGUAAUAGCGUGACACACAUCGUUGCAUUAAUUAUGCUAUUAAUUAACGGCAUUAAAUCAACAAACGGGCGCGCAGCAACUGGAUUACGGAAGCGCACACCGUGUAAUGCCGAUUCAAUAAAACUCCACCGUUUUAUUGCGGAACGCACGUUUAUGAUGUCGCGUCUUUCUCUCCGCGUGCGAUCGAGACGGUUUGUCACCAGUAUCGCAUCGUUUUACGCGACAGCGCGAAAUUUUCAUGACAAAGCUAACGUCGUUGAGCGCGCGCGAUCUUUCAUCUUUCUGCCGCUCCCUCAGCGUAUUACGCCCACCCACAAACGAUAAUGCACGUGUGACAUGUAGAACGUGUUUUGCCCGGGCUCGCACACCGGCAUCUACUUGCAGGCACUUGAGAGUCGUACACAUAUAUGUAUGCACUCGUGCGCGCGCGCACACCCAUCGACGGAUACCACAUCGGAAUUGGCACUCGACGAUGCCGCGUAUAUGACAUCCUCGUCGAUCGGGCUAGAUAUGUAUGUGUGUGCCGCACCGAGGGUGAUUGCGAUUGUGUACGUGCGCCCCUGGGAGGAGGGUGGAUAAGCGAGAGGUAGGAUGAUGCAGCAACUACAGGUAAAUGUAAUUAGGGAUUGAUCGAAUGGUAAGCGCGCGGGGCUGUCUAAUUGCCCGAGCCGAUAGCUCUCUUCCGGCGGAUGCUCGGCCGACGAGAAAGCUCCGAGCUACCAGGACUACGAUUGGCGGAACAGCGAUUGGACUCGGCGACGGCGACGAACCUCGUAAGACGGGAUUAUGAUCCCCUGGCCGGAUUGAUCGCGCGCUCGCCGUUCCUUCUCGCAGCGUGUCGUGAUUCUGGGAGGCUGAUCAUCGCGAAGAGCUGAAAAAUCGUUGAUCGUCGAGACGAAGAGCGAAUGCGAAAGUCUCGCGCUCACGUCUCAAUUUCUGAGCUCUGUGACCCGCAAUCGAAGAUGCGGCGUGAUAAUCGACGAAGUUCAAGAUCGAGACGCGAUUUUCUCGGGGCACGUACAUUAACGAGGAGACGCUGGCGAACCGUGACGCAUGAAAUUUCCAUUUAAGCCGCGAACAUCGAAGUUGCAAGAUGAACCAUCGUGAGCGACUGUCGAUAGAUAGAUAGAGACGGGGACAGAGACAAAGCGGAGGAGGUGCACGAGGGACAGAGGGACAAGGCUUGCAUGAAGGGAGUGCCGGGGAAGCAAACUAUUGUUGCCAAUAUCUCGGACAGUUCAAUUACUUGGUUAUUACGCGCCGCCAAACUGACAGGGUUGCUUACAUGCUUCGCCAAGCGGCUAAUGCAUACAUGCAUGUACACAAACUGCACUUAUGAUGACAUUUCUCGUGAUCCCCCUUUCCCGUCGCAAAGCGACGGCAAACACUCCAGUCUCUGCAUCAUCGAGCAUUAAUCUUCCGUAAUCGAUGGCGCAUCUGUAGUGCGAGAGUCGCUUUAUACGUCACCAUCUGUUUGAGGACUAAUCGCUUAAUCCCGCGCCAAGACUAUUAUUCGUUAAUUAAAUUAACAAGUUUAAUUGCUAGAACUAUAUGGCUGCGAUACAAUGAGAGACCAAGUGCAAUUUUGAUGUUCCGACUUGAAGCUCUUCCUCUCUUGUGGAAGCCGUAAAAAUUAUCUACUUUAGUAGCAAACAUUUUCUCUGUGAAAAUAAACUCUGUGCCUUCUUCUUCUUCCUUUAUUAAUCAAAAUUAGGUUUAUUUCCGAGCAGGUUUAUUUCAGUUAAACGAGAAUUUAAUUCUACGCGGAUUUGAAUAUGUUCGAACAAUCUUUUCCCUUUUUGGUUCGGUUAAACUCGCAAUAGAAGAAAAUCAUUAUUCUAAAAGAUGGCAUGUGAGCUGCAUUUCAUUUAAAAAGUAAGAAUGAGACGAUAGAUCUUCUCUCGUGAAAUGCUUAUCACAUUAACGAAAAGUUAGUGCCAAAAGAUUUCAUAUAGCCUGAAUAUUUUAUUUUCUUUUUUAUUUUAGUAGGCCUCGAACCAAGACCGAAACUACGUUUUGCACUUUGUUUUCAUUUAAUGAAACCGACGCAUCGGCCGCGACGUAUAACAAUUGAUAUUUCGGUUAACCGUACGACUGAUGCACGUUGAUUGGAACAAACCUUUUUUUCCUCGCCAUUCGGCAAUAAGCGCAACAGUAAAAUGAUUUCAAUUUCACGCGGCCAAAACGAGCAAUAUGCAAGAGAAAAAGAGAGAGAAAUUCAUUCCGUCAAGCGUAAAAAUAAAAUUCAGAAUUAUUAAUGCCGCGACAUAUUGUAAAAUAUGUAUCCUACUCCGCUUUUAUUUUUUGUCAGCGUACGCGCGCGUACAUGUAUUAUUAUAUCAUAAUAAAAAGGGAUAUAUACCGUUGGUACAUGAUACAGAGAACGUUAUCAUGUAUUUAAUGAUGAGUCAGGAAUUGUUGACGUAUAAUAAUACAUUUUCCGCGCUGAAUUGUUUGUAGAAUAUAACGCAAUAUCAAAACUCAUAAAGCAUGUUCUUCAUGUGGCAUUAUGCGACUUUAAACACAACACACCAAUCAGUAACAUCGACACAACCAUACUCUGACUCUCAACACAAAGAUAAAGUGCUACAAAUAACGGAUCGUUUGGAAACACGAUUUUAUAAAUUGCGAAAACAAGAUAAAAGACGCCCGCGAGACGAAUAACUUUGAUCGAAACACAGAAUUCGAUUUGUCAACUUUCCAGUUGUGAAAAUGGAUUGCACAACCAUUCUCGUUCGGUUCAUGGGCCUGGCCUCGACGACCACGUCGAGAAUUCACGACGCUAAUGAGUCGAACGAGAAACUUUUUCGUUGGCGAUGCAAAUGAGGCGCGCGCGGCUACAACGCGGCUACGACCGAUGCACUUGCACUUGUCGGUGCCGCGAGAAUUAAUGGAAAAACGCUUCGAGAGCUCCGCAGCUCGCGAUAAUUGAUCCUAGUUUCCCGACUUAAUUGGCAUAGUUUUAGAUAAAUAUCUAGAAGGGCUUCCCGGUAGGUGAUCCGUAAGAAAUGGUUUGACUGAUAGCUAAAGUAUCUCAAGAAUAUUACGUUGAAACGUCAGAAUGAGAGAUGAAAAUUUCAACGAUGAAAUUAUUAUAGAACGAAGACGACAUGAAAUAAAUGAGGACUUAUAAUUUCCUAUGCAUAAUGUACGAAUAUUUCUUGCGUAUAAACAUGUUUAUAGAAAAUAAAUUGUUUAAUUUACGUGAUUUAAUACUGAAUGUAAUUUCAUAAUUUACAAAUAAUUAAAACCUUCAAAGUUUAUUUCUGCAUCAUAUUAUAAUCCCUUGCGCUUUCCCCAUUGAUUACACACGUUUCAUAAACAAUUAAUUGACGCGAUAACGGUGUAUAAAAUUAAAUGAAAGUAAUUAAUGAAAUUUAAUUGCAGGGGGAGUGGAAGAAUGGAUGAAGCACAAUACCUCAUUCAGCUUUGCCUAUUUAAUUUAACAUCGUCACACAAAAAAUCCUCACGUUUGCUCGCUUUAUUAAAUGGACUUGUAGUUCUGUGUUAUAAUAUAAUUGCACACCGUUAUGCAAAUGCACAGAGUAAAAAUAUGAAUCACGCAACGCACAUCGCGUUCCGCUUAACAAACGUUACAUUACCAAACAUAAUCUUCGUGUAUUCAUUUUAUACGCACUCUUCUGACGAGCGUAGAUUCCCAAGUGUACAAUCGCAAAUAAGAGACUUAGCGGAUUCCACGUUGAUAUUAAUUAUGAAAAUACACGUGACUUAAAUUAUGGCUUUUACAUUUUACAUGAAAGGAAUCAAUGCUAUUUCUAUCAAUGCCGUUGUAGGGAAAAUUAGCACCACAUGCUACAAUUUAUGGAAUAGCAACGCAAAUCUUACAGAAAGGGUUAAACGUGAUGUUAAUCGUAAAUAUUAGUCAUCAAACGCUAUUAAUGACAAAUAUUGAUUAUUUAAGCAGCGAAUUUCGGUUUAAUUUGUCAACUUGUACUAUCGCAGCACAUACAUGUUUAAGUUGAUUAUUAAGGAACAGCAAACAACACGCGUUACGGCUUCCCUUUGCCUCGAUAUUCCACACUGCGUAAUUUUGAUUGAUCGAUGAUUUGUGGAAAAUGCACACGUAACAAAAUAAUCGCGAUCAUUUCAACGGCAAACCAUUAUUUUACAAAAUUACAAAUAAAAACUCGUGAUUACCGUGGUCCAAACUCCCAACUUUUGUCAGCUGCCGGCUCUUCCAUAAACCAUAACGCGAUUUAAGCGUCAUCGAAGAUUAGUGGUAUUGUAAAAUAACGUAUUGUGCAGAUUGUCUCGAAUAAGCAGAUAAUGAAUGGCGUUGGAGCGCAGAGAUAGCGAUAAAUAAUUCGUCCUGAUAUCCUAGUGUCCGAGCUAAAUCGCGAAGUAAUCGUAAAAAGAGCUGCAACGUAAAGUGUUCGCGGCAGACGCAAGGGCGCGGGACUUUAUUUAUCGGAUGGGAACUGAUAAAAUCGGCAAAGCCACCGCCGCCGCCGCCGCCGCGCGCAUCUAUCGGGUUAAAAGUUUAAUACCAACGCCGCGCAGAAUUUCACCUCGUCGGAGAGCGCGAUAGACCGAAGUUCGAUAUUAACUUUUUCUCCUUUUUUUUCUCUGCUCUUUUUUGGACGGAGAGCAGCGGGAGUAGGAAGGAAAGUGGGAGAGGAGAAGGAGUGAAGGAGAACUCGAUGGUGUUUUUUACGAGCUGCUCAUCCCAUUUCCCGAGAGCCGUUGGCCGUAUAUCGGCUACAUUUUCGCUCAUUAAAAAGUUCCCGCUCGUGCCCGUGCAAGUGCCUCCCUCCUCCUCCUCCUCCUCCUUCUCAUCCUUCUCGUCUUCGCAGGGCGCAGCGGCGGAUCGCCCUGCCCCUCCCCAGACGGGAUUUUCAUUAUUAAAAAGUAUUACAGCUGGCCAGAGGGAUGAAAGGGAGAAGUGGAGGGAGGGGGUUGGAAAAGAGGUAGCCGAACGAGCGAAUAAAUGGGGGAUUACUUCGGGCAGCGAGGUGGCGGAGCUAAUUUCAAAAACCUAGGCGGAGUAAUCGCCGGGAUCUUGAAGGUUUCCCGGAUGAACUCGGCGACGACGGUGAACAUCCCAUUUCCCGCCCUGUAUUUUCGCACGAUUAGCGUGUCUGUCGCAUAGCGCGCAAACGAAUGGCGAGUCACGCGCGAUCAUCAUACGUGUAAUCGCAAUAUCGCUCCUUCUCCCAUCCAGUUAAAACUAAAACAAAUCACUGUAAGUCUCACGCAACUGGUUUGAAAAGAAUAAAUUGACGAAACUAUUCUAAAUUCUCUCUCUACAAGCAACAAGUUUCGCAGUUGGCGAACGUAGCGCAAUCAGCGACGCGACACGACUCGAUGACGAUGUGGCACGCACGACGUGAUGACAUCGGCGAGGUAUUCUAUUUGAUUCUCAUGCACAAAUGUUUGCAGUCCCAUUAGAACCGGGAUUGUCAAGGACGAGAACACAUGAACACGCGGAACGACCACUGGCUCGCAAAAUACACGAGUACCAUCACGUCGACCAGAUUGCCAAGUAAAUACAAUUAUUAUUAUUAUAGCGCCCAAAACUUUGGAAGUUGCCCGAAAUCCCCCAAACACGUCGAGGGCUCCUCAUUAACCCUCUAACUAACCCUACGGCAUUACGUCAGCCCAUAUCUUAUCCUCGCCACACAAUUCUCGGGCAAAUUUCGAAGAAAGUAUCAUGAUUAUUGUUUGAAUAAAGGAAAAAAUGAGGAAAGGAUUGAAUCAAGAGAUAAAAUAUCUAUUAAUUAAAAGUUUGAGAUUUGAAGUGAUUUUAUAAAAACUGAAAUUGUAAUAAAUGUAUCUAUAAUACGCAUGUAGUUAUCAUCGAUUCCUGAUUAUAUAACAUAUUACAUUCAGAGAAUACGACCCUUGUGAAAUGUGUGUAGGAUAGUACAUCACCCUUGAGAGAUAAUAACGAGAAAUUUGUUUACUGCGACUUUGAUAGUUAGUCGGAAGUUCGUAGGAAAGGAGGAAAAAUGUAUACAACGUUAAUGUUUCAUGACUUCUAGACAUCGCACAUGCGCGAUAUAUAUUUAACGUUUCCGUUGAACUUGAUUACCUAGUUACGACAGGAAAACACACGAAGUUUAGUUAAUUUCGACGCGCACAUACGCGACCACCGCGCUUUUUAAAGCGUGCUCGUAUUAAUUAAAACUUUAGAUUGCCUACUGAAUACGUUAAUGUCAUGUUUUUCACAGAAAAGUACGAUAAACAGAGUAAAAUUAUCGCUAAAAUAUAGCGCUAACAGUUUUGUUUUCAUCUUAAAUUAAAUCGAGAAAUAAGGAUAGAAAUUUAAUUUCAGCUUUUGUCAAUUAAGCUUCGAAGGCAUAAACAGACAGAAGAAGUAGAAAUUUAAUUUAAGCUUUUGCCAAUUAAGUCUCGAAGGCAUAAACAGACAGAAAGAUCUUGCGUUCCCGUUAAUUUUAUCGCUUGCUAUAAUAGAAAUUUAAUUUAAACUUUAAUUAUCGGGGAAUAUCGCUAACGUUAAAAAUUAAAAUGCACGUGUAUGCUCAGCGCAUAAUCGAGUUUUUCAUAGGAAAAAAGAGAUUCUAGGUUUACUGUGAAAUUCGGGGCAAGCAUUAAUAUAAUCGAGAUCACAUAAUUUACGAAUCAAAUGUACAGACGAAGGAAUAGUAGAGAGAUUAAUAUUGCGAUGGAUGCAGAAAAGCCACCCAGGACAUUUAUCUUUCCGCGAAACAAACAGAAUUAAAAGCGGUUCGGUGUGCUUGCGUUAAACGUGAUUAAAUAUCAAAGCUGUCUGUUCCCGUGACCCACCUCCUAAUAUCCUCCGCGUCCGGCCUUAUUAUACGGCAGUUAAUUACGGCGAUGAGAGGGUCAAGUGCGGAUAAUACAUUGUUCUCUUCUCGCAAAAGGCCAGCCCGUGCUGAAAUUAACUAAAGAAACGGAAUGGCCAACGUGCUUCGCUACACGCGAAUUAUCAGGUCGGGCUUCCUUCUCAGGCAUUUUAAGUGAUAAUAUGCAUGGUUAUGAAAGGAAAAUCUACUGCUGCGAGAUGACAAACAACUCUUGUUAUUUUUAAUCUUCACGAGAAUGUUAGAUGGCAAUAAUUCUCGAAAUAUUUUUCCUAUAAACGGUUACAUGCGCAUAAUUGCGCUAUCUCGCAGACUAACACUGAACACGUGUGUAUUUAAUUGCCAAUAUCAAAUAAUUGCGAUAUUGCAUAGAAUAACUUGAGGAAAAUUGAGAAGGCAAGGAAGUAGCAUUACCAAAUUGCUGCUGAAUAUUUCAUUUCCUUGGCUGCUGUGUACGAGUGCAGAGAAGUUUGAGCGAUGAGAAGCACUACUCAUACUUGGCUUCAAAAUCACCAUCUAAUUUUGUGUUUCGAUUUGCACUCUCUAUUUAAGCACCGAACAGCAUGAUGAGCAGCUAAUUUAUUAAUAUUGAACUUUCUCACAGUAUUUAAAUAAGUUUCCAGAAAGAUUAAGGUCCUAAUACACGGGCAACUCUAAUUUGUAAAUGACAAUCGCAAUCAGAAUCGAAGAAUACUUCCUUCCUUGGUUAAUCCUUUUACCUCUCACUUAUUUGUAAUAUUGAUUAUUCUUUUCUAUGUACCUUAUCCAAGAAUAUUGCGAAUAAGAAAGAAAUGGGGGACAAGAGAUCUCUUUAAUAAUUCCAUUUAUUAUCGUCGUCGCAUCGCGACGCCUGCGGCUGCCCCGCCCCCCUUCCUUUGUUCCCUUACUUUUAAUUCAGAUAAAUUAUUAUAUAAAACAAUGUUAUCGUUUCAUUCAAUGUUAAAUUUCCAGGAAAGUGCCCAAGAAAAUCGCGAUAUGCCACGAAGUUUUUACACACCCCAGGCGUGUAACAGAAAAAUUUCAAACAAAUGCAUUUAACGAUAAUUGCAUUCGAAAGUUCUAUGCGAAGAGCAAACGUCGGCUCAAAAUUGUACAGAGAACAAUGAUUCAGAACUGUGUGCAUACGCAAUUGUUUAAUAAUAAGUGACACGAAAUUUACCUUUCUUAAUUACAAUAUCUUUGUUAAGUUGAAUGAAAUAACGUCCAUGUUGGCAAGUAACAAAGGAAGAAAAAUCACAGGCUUAUUUUUAAGUUCGUUGAGAAAAUCCCUAAAAGGACAUGCAUCAAUGAGAGCUUUUUUCAGGUUGAAAAAGUUGAGCGAGUACUUUUCCUCAGUUUAGCGGAACGUUAUUAAUUGAAGCUUAGGCUUCGAUUUUCAACGAAUGGUGCAACAACUUCCAAUGGCGAGGACAAUUAUUAUUCGUUAUCCCGCCGUUAAUCCGACCACCAAACCGGCCCGAAUUUACGGUCGCGACCAAACGAGUAUUUGCGCGAGAAUAUCUCGAAGGGGCUUAAGCGGCUUUCAAAACGUAUAGUGAUGUGUUAUACAUGUCUUUUCAUAGCUUGUUUAUAGUCGCAGCCAGUAGCGACAAUUUUUCGGUUAAAAAAAUCCUUCCUAGUAUCUAAUAGUAAAAAUACGAUGUUAAAAUUGUAAAAUGGCAUGUAUUUGACGAGUUCAGUGAUGUUCAAUAUUUAACGUAGAGUCUAAAGGUAGAUUCCUCAAGUUUCUCAAAUCAGCUGUUAUACAGUUGUUAUAUACAAUCUAGAAAUGUCUGUGUGCAUUUAUAUACAUAUAUUUACGGAAUGUAGCGAGACUCGCUUGUUAUAACCGCACUGAUUUAUUAAUAAUAAUGUGCGCGUCCCGGUGUGUUGUCGUCUCGGAUAGAGGAAACGUGUCUUUAGAAUCUUUACGUGUCUGGCGAACUUGUGACAUUUCACAGAACCACAAGACAAGAAACUUCGACAACAGAAAUCGGUAAUUAGAAACCGGCGCCGCUUACAGCCGGAAAACGGAAAAUGUCAGAUAUACAAUAAUCCGCGGUGCAAUUAUCGAAGUUUGCCAGGUCGCCGGGCUACGACGAUUUUCCGUAGGACUGCGAGAGAACGCGCGAGCGAGAGAAAGAGAAACAGAGAAAGAUCUUGAAGAGAGAAGUUAGAAGCGACAGCGAUUAAGUCCGGCGAUGCGGAGCGAAUCGGAGGAAGAAUACAGCGGUGCGGCGCGAACCGCUUGGCAGUAGUAGAAACUUUUAAUGGCGCAACGCGGGGAAACGCGCAGAGUUCAACAUGAAAUAUGUAAGAGCGUAAGAAUCUAUCGGACACAAAGCGGCACAUAAUCGCCGGGGCCGUGGCCCAUGCAUUGUUCCGCGCACAAUGCCGCACCGCACACGGAACGACGUAACACUGACGAAAGUCGGGCGACGACGCGCCCGGCGCGGUUGGUCUUAUGAAUUUUUCACAUCGUCCGCCCGCGACAAAACCGCCACGAAUAUUGGAUUCGCCGUGAAAGUAGCAAAUGUCAUCAAGAUAAGUUGUUUUUGGGUGUUCGGUUAUAUUUGACGACAUCGCGCGUCAGAUCGCUCGAGAACGCGAGACAGAAACGCGAGCUCAACGUCGAAGUUCUUGGAGUCGAAUGUUUCUCGUAGAUGCACGUGAAAAAAGAUCUCAUCAGAAGAUCCAGCGAAUCCCGCUGCAGCUUCACCUUGAAAAAUCGACGAGUUUGCAUCCCAAAUUGAAUUCAUCAGUCGGUUAACUGCACGUAUCAUAGACUUCCCGCUCCGCGGAUAAAACUGAUACAGUGAUCCGAUUUACAAUGAUUUAUACCAUUCCACAUAAAAAAUCCGCGCGUUUCGUGUCAAUCUUCUGUAAUAUACUACCGUAAUAUAACUUCUGUAAUAUAUAUACAUAUAUACAUUUAUAUCUAUACUGUAAUAUAACUUCGAUCGAGAAUAAGCAAAAUUUCCUCGACGCGCACAAGAGAGUAGCCGCGUGCAAGAGCGUAGCCGCGCGUGCGUGUCGACAGAAAAAAUUAGCAUUUUAAUCGUUUAUCCCAUCUCGCCUCGGUCCAGCGGCUGCGUCCGUGUCUCACGUCGACACGUUUGUGUCAGUGAGACAGUGUCUCCGAGGCACGUUGACGAAGUCGAUACUACACAGUUUUUCCCGUUUGCGUGAAACUAACGAGGCUACCACGCUCGUUUGCAUACUCAUCGUUCCGUUUUUAAUACGGCCGUUGUCGGGCAGCCGCGCGACAGAUAAUUACGUUGCUGUACAUCGCGUUACGACCGACCAACGUCGAGUUAACCGAAACUACACUUCUCGAGUGUCGACGAGUCGGGAACGUUUUUCAUUAAUCUGACAGAACGGUGGAACGUGGCUGAUUGGCUCGCCACGGGAUUCGUAAUUUCGUAAUUCAUCAUGAUUCUAAUGAGAAAAUUACCGUCCACGUGCAGUCCGAAAACAAGCGUCAAACAAACGCGAGCCCACGAAGAUUUAUUCAUUAAAUCUAUUAUAGCGCCAGAGGCAGAAAAAAAGAGAGGAGGAAGAAAGAGAAAAAUACGGCAGGCGAUAACAAACUGCGAUAUUGGCAAAAAUAUUUAAUAUCCAAUAUUUUUCCACUUCACCAUUACAAGGAUAAGAACUCCAAUUCAACGAGAGGCUCCAUUUACAACAAAUGAUGCAGGCACUCUAAAUCGGAUACUGGUACAGUUUUACAGAGUAAAGAGCAGACGGAAUCGUACGUAAUUUACAACCAUCCCCUUUUUCACGCGUAGCGUAUCGAAAUACACUCGAUAUCAAAGAGAUUUAAAUAUUUUACGCUGCCGUCAUGAUACUGACAUUUAUUGAACCAAAUAUUAAACCAUUUCAAUUUCGCUUUUGAAAUGUAUGCUUUAUACUAAAGAGGAAAUUCAAAUUACCACGCAUUUUUAAUAAAAACCUUAUAGUCUAUACGGUUAUCACGUACUGUUAUGAUUAUCGAUCCAAUCUUGCAAAUUCAUCAUUUCUGAUCAAUGAAUGUAAUGCAAGCGCUUGUGCAUUGAUGGGAUCACUUAUCUCUUAUCAUAGACGCACGAAGAUGCGAUAAGGAAAGCGAGGUAAAGUGAUCGAGACGAGGGGAAAGGUUAUCUCUUUGUAACGAAGGCAAAAGAAAUGUGAAGGUGAUAUCGAUUAAUUUGCAGUUAAUCGGCCGUGAGAUUGCUACAUCAACAGAUAGAGAGUCCAGAUCACUUGCGCGCGUGCUGGGUCAUCGCAAGCUAUGUAAUUUUGUUUUAAUGGGGAAUUUAGCAAUAUGAGCCAUGAACAGAUACGAAAUACAUGAAAUCUAAAGCUUUUUACUCGCGUUUUAUCUAAAAUAAAAUUUAGAUUUAUUCAAAGCAUCCGACAAGCGAUAGAAGUAUAAAUUUCAGAGGAAAAUCAACCUUUUACCUCAUGUCGGUGCAAAAUACCGACGUCAAACUAUGUAAAAAUUCGAUACACACGCCGGAAUAGAAUAAGCUACGCAAAUGCCGUUACACAUCCGGUAGUUACACUACGGCUGCGCAAUUUAAACAUUAAAAUGGGUUGAAUCGAAUUUUGAAUUAAAAUUGGACAGAAAUACUGAUUUAGUUUUGUAAUGGCUUUACAGUUGGUCUGCUUGCAACACAGGUAUUUUGCGAAUGUUAAAAAUUAUUAACUUCAAAAAGGGAUUAUUACAUUACUAAGUCAAUGAAAUCUGACUGGCAAUGUUGCAGAUAAUAUAUCUCAAAUUUUUCUCAAAUCUCUUUAUAUUUAUGAUAUAUACGAUAACGUGCGCGCAAUAUAAAAUUAACCCGUUCAACAUUCCUUUUUCAUAAGAACAUACCUGAAAGGAAUUAAAUGUCACACAGAUCUCGGAGGUCGCAGCGUGAUUAACCCGCAUUUACCACGGCGCAGUAAGCAACGCCAAAACGCCCGUCACAAUCACGGAGCUGUUAUAGGAAAUUAUAUCGAAUAUCCAAUUUACGGCUGAUGCCCAUUUUAUGGUCGAGUUCGAACCUCAUAUCAUUUCCAUUCGCAUAUAACAACGGUGUUUCAUUAUUCCACGAGAGGAACGAGAGUGAUCGAUCGAUUGAAGGGGUAAAAUUCCCAUCUUGUGUAUUUACCUUUUACUACAUCCGACUGACUUUUCGACGGGUACGGAGUUAAUCUUGUACGAACGAGAGUCUCUCUCUCUCUCUCUCUCUUGCUCUCUCUUCUCUUUCCUCCGUCCCUCCCUUCGUACCUCUCGUCCUUUCUCUCUUUCUCUCUCUUGUAUACGGACGAUCGCGUGAUCGAAAUUGAAACGAACGGCGAGAGGUCGCACGCUAUCGAGAGGGCUCUCUGUGUGGAGCCCAGGCGGACCUUCGCCAUCCCCACGGGCUUUUCGUUCGCGGGCCAACUGUCCAUUCCCAGCCGUUAAUCCCGACGGAGGGUUUCCGGUCGAAGGGUACGCGCUCGGGCAACGCACAGUGGCGCAGCUCGCUCGUCCAAAGGGAGAGAGAAGUGUACGGGGUGUCGCAGGUAUCGCGCACUAUCUCUCCAUUACGGAUACUUGAGGCAAAACUCGGGAGAAUGUAACUUGCUUCCACGUGCGGCAGCAUGAAGCAGCGAAUCGUAGCAAUUUAAUUUCGGGAUACGAACAGGUGAAGCGUAGAUCUUCGCUCGAUUCUUUCGACAGGUUUCCGCUUCCGCGGAAAUAUUUUGAUUCUAGACUUGGUUACAAAAAUAUUGAAUGUUGAAAAAAAUUUGGCAGAGCCAAAUUUCAAUUUGCUCAAGAACUAGCAAAAGAAAUGUGUGAUUAGCGACAUAAUUCUAUGAUUCUUUUUUAUAGAACAUAUAUUCUCCGAAUUGUAUUUGAUUUUACAACACCGUUACAUUACGUAUCAUAUUGUUAAUUUAUUAUACGAUUAAAUCGAAGUGAAUAAUAUAAAGUACUUUAUUCAGAGACACUAAUAAUAUAAAGUAAUUUAUUCAGAGAGAGAAAGAGAGUGAGUCAUGUCUUCUUUAGAUUAUUCAGGAUUAUUAUCAUACGCGAACUAAAUAAUGUUUCGUUUUUUGCAGAUUACAUGUAUUUCGCCGCGGUACUGCGUUCUGCGCAUGAAAACAAAAAAGUAAUGCGAAUCCAAGCAUUGAGCUCUGAGAAUCAUGUGACUGAUGAAACGAACGUCGAGCUCUCGUUGAUGCCUCUUCACCCGCCUCUUCGACAUCGCCUCCGAUUUCACGUCCAUCAGGGCCACGUAAUAUCGCCCGCUAAAUCCCGUUAAAUCCGAGAAGCCAGCACUAGCAGGUACACGUGAGCGAGCGAGCGACUGUGCAAACCUCGGACCCUUAGAACGAAAUUAGAGAAUCCUACGCCGUUGCUGAAAACGACGACGACUCGCGCCGAUCUCGGAGCGCGCAAAUCCGAUUUCACCCUGCCGGACUAUUCGAUUCCAAUUAACAUAAUAAUGCCGAAAACUAGAAAUCCGCACCCUCGCCUACGGCUCGCGACUGCACAAAUUGCGGAAUAAUUAGGAAAUGUUCGAAACGAGCGAACCCGAUACGCGCGGGGGAGAUUCACGGGGAGAAUUGAUUUCUCUCGAAUUUUGAUGUUCCCCGAGGGUGACUAUCGAUAGAGAUGAUGAUCAAUAAUAGAAAUGCUUGAUCCUUGAAGAUGCAGCAUAAUUGAGAAUAAUUUGCAGCACACCCUUCAAAUCAGGAUCACAUAGUAUGUAUACUAGAUAUACUGCUCGAUCGUCAGUCUAGAUAAUUAAUUCUACAAAAGAAUAUAAAAUUCAGAUAUAUCGCCUUGAAUAGCUUAUAAGCUUAUAUACAGUAAUUUGUACAAACUGUGAAGUAACACUUGCAACUUUCGUUACAAGUCAAUCAACUACGAUUCUAAUCAUCUAAGAAUCCGAAGCUGAUUUUUCUAUUUUCUCAUAAUCCUAAUUCAAGUUUUAUGAUAAUCAAUAAAAUUUGUCAAUUUUCUUAACUGAUGAUAAUCUAAAAUAGUGUCCUUCGCGAGUCUUUAUUUAUGACACUAUAGCCUAAUUCCUGAAUGGACAUCUUUGUCGAAAGUUUACUGAGUCGUCCAACACGAUAUAUCUCGAUGGCUCACGCGAGAAUCACAUUUCCGUCACUUCAGAGGAAAUAUUCCAUCCAGAUAUUCCCAAGUUUAACCGCGGCUGACGAAAAGAGGACGUGGAGGACGUAAGGAAUAUUCAAUACCUUGCCGACCCGCGUUACGCGUAAACGCGACCCUCGACCUCGCUUCCGUUGUCGACCCUUCGAAUCCCGGGCCGAAUGUCGUCUUCGAUUUAUUAUUUGCCGAACGAUUUGUCAUUUGCGCAUCACCCUCGAGUGGCGCUUUGUGUGCUCUUAGGAUCGAAAUAUCGGGACGGCUUGUCGAAUCGAGAUAUUCCCCUCUCUCCGAUGUGACUUCCUCCCAAGGCGGUGAUUUUCGAGACGCUGAGCCCAGCCAAAGUUGAUUCCACCGGAGGGACGUUUACGUCGGUUGAUGCGAUACGCGACAUGAUGGUGGGCUAAACGAAGCGAGGGCGAAGUGAAAGGCCGACAAUGCGGGAUCAAUGAAGUCAGCGUGAGACGUGGACCGGCAGCAUCGUUUGCACCACGGUGCGGAUAUGCGUCAUGGGACACCAUGCGUCAGUUUUAAUUAGUGCACACCCACGCGCCGACAUCGAUGCCGAGGUAACCAUCAAAUAUCGGGACGUCGGCGCGUUACGGUCGUUAAUAAAAUUCCGCGGGCACCGACCGUCCAUCGACCAUUUGCAGAGACGUAAAGUCGAAUCAUCGUUGCCUGCGAGCACUCACGUGUGCGAUUAUUCACGUUCGAUGGGAUUCCAAAGAUCAUAAGACACGCGUUUUGUCACUACAGGAUGUUUUAUAAACUAUCAUCAUGGUCUCGUAAAGCAGAUUUCUUUGCUAAUCUGAAGUUGAUUUUCUAAUUCGAUCGAGAAUGUUUGUACGAUUGCAAUAUUAGACUUAUCUGUAAAUUUAUCUGUUCGCAUCCCUGAUGAAAUAUAAUCAACACUCUGUAGCAAAAUAAAGAUCAUUUGUGAGAAGCAAGUUUAAUGAAAAAUAAUUUCAAUCUUAAAUCUUCUAAAAACUAUCUUGGAAUUCAGUUUUCUUUGUAAUAAUAAUAAUAAUAGUUAGGUUAUUGUAAAACUUUGAAUCAUUUUUAAUUUGAAUACUUCGUUGAACGCAAAAUAUUUUUCUUUGUUCGGUUUUCAACACCUGCAUUCAAUGGAAAUCAUUCCGAGUAACUCUAUAUAACAUUAGGAGCAUGUGAAGGCACACUUUCGUUUUAUGAUGAAACCAAAUCGAGAUUAAUGCCGACUGAGUUGCUCGCUCUCCGUAUUAAAAUACCGUAUUUUACAACGUGGCAACUACAUACACUGUACACAUUAAGGCGGGAAGUGAACGGCUAUGUUAAUUGGUCAUGAAAUGACACUGAAAUUAAAUUCGUCGCGUUUCGCGAAAUACCAUAUUAUGAUUUAUGAUAAUUCAAAUAUGUAUGUAGAGCAAUAUUACAAAGCGUAGUCUGAAAUAUUUAACAAAGCGGCAUUACAUAUAGAUGAACAUAAUGUUUUCGGCUAUUGUCUAAAAUUAAUUCAUCAUUCUGAACGCGCUCUAUCCGAGGCAGGUGCAUACAGAUCCGCAACUGCCAUUCAAAUAAUCAACGCUGUGCUUCGACGCAGGUGCACGAAGACGGGCUUGAUGCUGCAAUUUCCAAAAAUUAAGUCGAGAAUGUUCGAGGUGCUCGUUUAUAUUUUUCUUGUGACAAUACGUGGGAGCUGGUGCAUUUUUCUCAAGAGAAUCAUCGUUAAAAGGCAAAGCGGCCUCUGAAUUUUUCGACUAUCAAUUUUCCGCGAACAAUAACGACUCGCUGCUCUCGCAAGCAACAUUAUGCGACAAGGUAUCAUCGAGAGAGGGAGACCGUACAUUAUUAAAUACGGAAUAUCGUGGCAGAUCGCUGACGGUUGUUGAUGCUCGCUUGAGAUACUUGCAUACGCUAUUGCGAGCCUAUUUUAAUUAUCAUCAAGCGCUGCAGGCCGUUCCGAUAAGCAUUUACCCGAGGCAGAAGGCUGCGCACGCGGUUCGAUGCACGCAUCGAUAGCGACGAAAUGCGGGCGGCGCUCUCACCGUAUGCGGGUUCUCUAUGCAUUUAGUACGCUAUUCUAUGAAGCUGUGGCGAUGCGUGAAGUUUGACCCACGGCACGCACGUGCAUGCUUCACGAAGAAAGGCCUGACGCAACGGCGGUGAAGCUUCGCAACGAAACGAUAGUUUAACGGCGCGGGUGAAUGGUAACGGCGAUAUAGCGAUAUAUCGAUCAAGGUUCGAUCGGAUUUUAAAUUAGCAGUUCGUGAGUCAUUCUCAGUUGCUUUUGAAUUACUCCAUCUUUCAAUAGUCAAUUUAUAACUCCAUCUCGUAUGUCAAAAUAUAAUAAUCUAAAGCAGAUCUUCGUCAGACAUUAAUAGCAACGAUGAUCAAGAUUUACGACAAUAUAUGAAUUCUGCGAGUAAUGAGGAUUCGACCAAUUUGGAACGAGCUAUCGCGCGAUUUAGCUGGAUACGACUUUCGGUAUCGCGCAGGCCACAUUUGAAUCGCGCUUGGCGCAAUGCCAGAUUGUACAGGUGUAACGCGUGUGAACGAAAGAGAGACACUUCCGCGACAUGAACGCACAAUAAUUACUGUCACAGGGACGAAGCGCGUUCCGCAGCAGCGAAGCUACAUCCGUGAUUUCAUUACAUUGCAUUUCCCUUGCACAGCUGUUUCUUCCGCCGCGCCGUAGAGUUUCAUCCCUUCGUAGACCGGAUUGAUGUGCAGUUUCGUCGACUGGAUGUAUUACCGAUCGUCGUCGUGUAUCUGUCAAUCGAACCGCUCGAUGCAACCACCUCGCAUCGACAUUCGCAUCAAUGAACGUGACGACUCUCGUUCAUCAAUCUAGUCGUACGCUUUUUUAUAUUCCGGAUUACGGUGUUGCAUCGCUGCGAACAUUUCCCGAAUAUUAUUACAACAGUUGGCGAGCUAAAGUUUAAUGAUCCUUUCGCUUUCAAUAACGCCAGCGAGAUCUAAUGCACGUUGAUUUCGAUGUGAAAGCUCAUACCUAAUAAUUCCAGAGAAUCAUCUGAUCGAGCACUACUAACCAACCUCUCAACUCCAACCGCAUCAAUGCGCGGCCGCAGUAAAGCACAAUAUCAGACACGAAGACAGACAGCAAGCAAGCCCCGCAGCCAGCAUUCAGUUCUCGUGCGAGUUAAUGACGUGGCGUCAUUACACGUAUAAAAGAUGAAUACGGCUAGACGGAGCACUUUCAACACGCGACGUCGACGUCACGACGAUUCUACUCGAAAAUACAGUUGUGCCAAUGGAGCCGCGCACUACCACACUUACGCAAAUUAUUUUUCAUUCGUCUGAUGUGUUACCUGAACCUGCCUCGCUAACUGAAUGACAAAUUUAGUAAUGUAUACGCGGAAUGAUUAAAUUACUUUUCAAUGUUUGAGUAUCGCGAUUGAAAUUAGAAAAACUGACAAAUCCUUGUAGUAAAAAGUCCAAAUAAUCAUAUAUAGAAUAAUGUAAUAUAAUAAAUAUAAAUCCGAGAUCCGGCUUCAACCUCGAAA
Long non-coding RNA from Ooceraea biroi (clonal raider ant), 18630 nucleotides. RefSeq lists it as uncharacterized. NCBI's taxonomy places the organism in Eukaryota, Metazoa, Arthropoda, Insecta, Hymenoptera, Formicidae. The record is from RefSeq and is a predicted model, not a curated record.